GUGUCAGCAGCCGCGCGGUAAUACGGGGGAUGCAAGCGUUAUCCGGAAUCAUUGGGCGUAAAGCGCCUGUAGGUUGUUUAAUAAGUCUGUUGUUAAAGACUAGGGCUUAACCCUAGAAAAGCAAUGGAAACUACUAGACUAGAGUAUGGCAGGGGUAGAGGGAAUUUCUAGUGUAGCGGUGAAAUGCGUAGAUAUUAGAAAGAACACCGGUGGCGAAAGCGCUCUACUGGACCAUUACUGACACUCAGAGGCGAAAGCUAGGGUAGCAAAAGGGAUUAGAUACCCCUGUAGUCCUAGCCGUAAACGAUGGAUACUAGAUGUUGUGCUUCAUGUACAGUAUCGUAGCUAACGCGUUAAGUAUCCCGCCUGGGGAGUACGCUCGCAAGGGUGAAACUCAAAGGAAUUGACGGGGGCCCGCACAAGCGGUGGAGCAUGUGGUUUAAUUCGAUGCAACGCGAAGAACCUUACCAGGGCUUGACAUACUACAAAUUCUUUAGAGAUAGAGAAGUGCCUUCGGGAAUGUAGAUACAGGUGGUGCAUGGCUGUCGUCAGCUCGUGUCGUGAGAUGUUGGGUUAAGUCCCGCAACGAGCGCAACCCUUAUUUUUAGUUACUAAUUCGUUAGGUUUUCUAGAAAGACUGCCGGUGACAAACCGGAGGAAGGUGAGGAUGACGUCAAGUCAGCAUGCCCCUUAUGUCCUGGGCUACACACGUGCUACAAUGGUUAAGACAAAGAGUCGCGAGCUCGCGAGAGUCAGCUAAUCUCAUAAACUUAGCCUAAGUUCAGAUUGUAGGCUGCAACUCGCCUACAUGAAGUUGGAAUCGCUAGUAAUCGCUGGUCAGCCAUACAGCGGUGAAUCCGUUCCCGGGCCUUGCACACACCGCCCGUCA
Molecule: ribosomal RNA, 889 nt
Filed under: uncultured bacterium
Lineage: Bacteria
Description: bacterial SSU rRNA
Rfam family: Bacterial small subunit ribosomal RNA
Source: RNAcentral